RNAcentral lists this ribosomal RNA (374 nucleotides) under uncultured organism. RNAcentral's name for it is "partial 16S ribosomal RNA". It matches the Rfam family "Bacterial small subunit ribosomal RNA", at positions 527 to 896 of the family's 1533-position model. The record is from RNAcentral.
AGAGGGUGCAAGCGUUGUUCGGAAUUACUGGGCGUAAAGCGAGUGUAGGCGGUUUGGUAAGUCGGAUGUGAAAUCCCUCGGCUCAACCGAGGAACUGCACCCGAUACUGUCAGACUAGAGUGUCGGAGGGGAUGGCGGAAUUCCCGGUGUAGAGGUGAAAUUCGUAGAUAUCGGGAGGAACACCCGUGGCGAAGGCGGCCAUCUGGAAGACUACUGACGCUGAGACUCGAAAGCGUGGGGAGCAAACAGGGAUUAGAUACCCUGGUAGUCCACGCCGUAAACGAUGAGUGCUAGGUGCUGUGGGUUUUGACCCCCCCCGCAGUGCCAAAGCUAACGCGUUAAGCACUCCGCCUGGGGAUACGGUCGCAAGAUUA